Molecule: long non-coding RNA, 305 nt
Filed under: Columba livia (rock pigeon)
Lineage: Eukaryota; Metazoa; Chordata; Aves; Columbiformes; Columbidae
Description: partial uncharacterized LOC102094592
Source: RNAcentral
GAGAUUUGGGGGUAUUUGGUUACCGAAGCCUGGAUGUUCCCCUCUUUGUGUCCUCCAGCGAGGACGGAGAAACAAGUCCUCCCCCAACAAUACAGCCCGUCCUCAAGCAUCCCCAGACCGACAGCACGGCGGCCACCGGGCCUGCAGGUUAACACACGUAAAGUAACCUGUGUAUCUCCAAGAGAGGAUCGGGGUUGUUUUCUGAAGAAACCUAUAGGUUGUUGCCACUUUUGCUGCCUUCACCUGGGAGAAGUCGAGUAAUUCUCCAGCCCCUUUCAAAUACGCCUCAUCUGCACCAAAUUUCU